AAGUGAACUUGGUGCAGGGAGGGUCACACAGGACCUCAUGAACCAUAGAGAGAAGUGUGGUUUCUAUUCUUACCAUUGAUGUAUUUUUAGCAGGGGGAGGUCCACCAUCUGAUUCCUGGUUGUUGUUGGGAGGAUGGGCAGUUGAGGGGGAUGGGAAAGUGAAUCUUUGAUCUCAGGUCUCUGUAAUACAUUGUUUAACGUUCAACAGGUAUCUUGCGUUCUGGCAAGCGUAGACUUUAUGUGCAGUGUAUUUCCAUCUGUGUACAGAAGAGGUACCCGUGUGCCUUUAUAUGUGGAGAAUACCAUCAGAGGGAGCCAUUAAAAAAGUGGGGAGGGGAACAGAUUUUUUUAAGUGAGGGAGAGACAGUCUUUUCAUACUUUGUGCUGUUUGAAUUUUUUUUUUUUUAAAUGUGGUUUUGAUGAUAAUGAAUAUAGAGAAAAACUCAGUAAUCUAAAAAACAAAAACAAAACAGAUCAUUUGACACAGGGUGGAGGUGUGUUUGUGUGUGGAGAGGAGGUUGGUGCAACCUGGGGCAGGGUGGGGUGAGGCCUCAGAAGGACACGGACCCAAGGAAGGGAGAGGAGAGGCCAGGCUUAAGAAAUUCUCUAAGUCAACAGGAUGUGGGGCUGUGGAGUGGGCAGGGCCAAGGUGAUUGAGGUUUGCAGUCUGCAGAUGCUGUAACCCAGAUGUGAGGCCCAGAAGGCCCUACUUCCUGUAAAUGGGGUGACCGCCAUGGCGGUGGGGCCCGAGGGCUGUACCCCAAAAUGUCAGGGCAGGCAGACUGCAUGGUGAGUGCACGGAGAGAGUAGGGAGGUGGAAGAGGACGCCCCAGUUCCUCUUCAGCCCCAGAGAAUGUCCAGCUGAUGAGCCACACUCAGCUUCCCAAGGUAGGGACAGAAGAGAGAGGGUUCAGAUCCUGCAGAAGGGGCUACUGGCCAGUCUUUCUCUGAUAGCCUGUCUCCCAUCUCCCCUGGCUGGGUGCCUGCCCUCACUCGCCAUGAUGGACCAGUGAGUGACCCCUUUGGGGCUCCCCAUUUACCCACAGAGAAUGCUGCUGAGUCCCAAGCCCCUCUGGGUGGGGGGCAGCCCAGUGGACUAAGGGAAAAGGUGAAAACAACCCGAGUGUCCACCCGUGGAGGAAUGGAUGGGACAGAUGAGGUCCAUUCAUAACUGCAAGAUUUCAGCCUUCGAAAGGAAGGACGUCCUGAUACCUGCUUCAACAUGGACAAACUUUGCGGACAUUUUACUGAGUGGGGCCCAGCUCCAGACCCAGCAGGACGCGCGCGGAGCCGGGCAGGGCCUCACCAGCUUGUUUUCAAUGAGGUCGCAGACCACUUUGUUGUUGAAGUACUGGAUGGGGGUCCAGCGGAUGCCCUCUUGGACGUACUCCUCCUGGGGGCGGCAAAGCGGCCGGGGUGGGGGUGGGGGUCCGGGCAAGGACGCAAGGGUUUCUAGAAUGCAUGCUUCACAAGGGUGGGUGAGGGAGGUGUGCUGGGUGUCUCCCCAUAUCUCCCCAUCUCAUCGCCCUCAUCAUCAGUGGGGCAGACUGGAACAGCCGCCCCGGCCUGCCCUUGACCACAGACAGACAGGAGCCAGUGCCUAAAUAUCCUGGCUCCGUUGCUUCUGGGGUGGGCUAACCCUGAGUUCCCUGCUAGAGUGUCCCCCAGGGCUCAGCGGAGAUUGGCCCCAAUUGCCUGCAGCAUAGCCUGCUCAUCAAUACACCCUAUUCUGGCCUUUAAAAUUUUUUUUUAUUUUUUAAUUUAAAAGAUUCAUUUAUUAGGAUGCCUGGAUGGCUUAGUUGGUUAAGCAUCUGCCUUUGGCUCAGGUCAUGGUCCCAGGGUCCUGGGUGAGUCCUGGCAUUGGGCUCCUUGCUCAGUGGGGAGCCUGCUUCUCCCUCUGCCUACUGCAGAGGGAAAGGCAGAGGGAGAGACAGAGUCCCAAACAGAUGCCCGAUGUGGAGCUCGAUCCUAGGAUGCUGAGAUCCUGACCUGAGCUGAGAUCAGGAGUUGGAAGCCUAACCGUCUGAGCCACCCAGGCGCUCACCUCCCUAUUUUUUUUUUUUUUUUUUAAUGUGUCUCCCACUUCUUCACUCUUCUCCUGAUAUUUGUGCUGAAUCCUUGCCUCAGGCUCUGUUUUUGCAGAAUGGGUUGGAUGAAAACAGCAGGAAUUUUCAUUCCUCUCUUGCAUGGCAGUCUCCCCAGCACUGCAAACAGUGCCUGGCAAACAGCAGGUGCUCAAUAAAUAAUCAUUGGUGGAAUGACAAAGGAGGCUGUGCCCUAGCCCUUGUCAAAGCUUUAGAGGCAGGGAACUGCUUCCAUAGGAAAUCAGAGAGAGGUGAGGAUGGGAGCCUGGGCAGGGGUUCCCCUGGGGGCUCAGCAGACUUCCUGGUCCUGCCCCCACCUCCAGUGUCCCUGUGCUCCUGGCUCCCCCUGCCUACCUGCUCAGCUUUCAGGGUGAGUUCGAUAAAGAUUUGCUGCAGCUUCUCAUUGACAAAGUUGAUGCAGAACUGCUCAAAGCCGUUUUUCUGUCAAGGGAGGCCAAGGGUGUCGCCAUCAGUGGGCUGAUGCUGGAGGCUCCUGGGGCCACGGGGCCACCCCAGGAGGCUCAGGGAGGCACCUGGUGUGGGCUGGGGAACAGAGGCCGUACCUGGAAGAUCUCAAAGCCAUAGAUGUCGAGCACACCGAUACUGUACUCCUCCUGGGGCUUCUGCAUAGCGCGGUUGAUGGCCUGCAGUGUGGACGGGGAUUCACGGAGUUUGGGAAAAUGUGUCACCAAAGUCUCACCAGGUGGGUGAGCGCCAGCGUGUCCCCCUCUGUGUGUGCUCUUAACCACGUUCCCAGGCUGUGUCCUCUGAUGCCAGCUCCUCUCUUGCCUUCUCCAACUCUCUGCACCCCCCCGCCCCCAGUCACCCGUAUGAGAAUCCCAGGUGUUAGAACAUCUGGGUUCCUACCUUGGGAGCUCGCUUGGCCUCUUAAAUGUUCUGCAGCUCUAUAUUCCCAUCUUUAAAUGGGGGCAAUGGUGGCAUCUACUCUGUAGGACUUUAUAAAGCUUUAAACUGACGCAUGUAAAACAUUUACAACAGUAGUUGGUGGAGGCCAAGUGUUCUGCAAUGUUGGCUUCUACAAUAUUGUCAUGGUGCUUGACCUUGACACGUCCCGUGCCUGCCUUCCCCACCUGGCUGGUCCAAGCCCAGGGCGCUCUGGGGCAGGGCCUCUCCUGCUCCCUGGCCCAGGCCCCGGCCCCUCUCACCUCCACAAGAAAGUCAAAGAGACGGGCAUAGAGCCCCUUGGCCAGGGCGUCGCGGGUGUAGGCUGCCUGCUCCACAUUGAGGGUCACGUCGAUGGACUCGCUGCGUCCACCCCAGCGGCUGUCCAUCUUACGGCUGGUGAGCUUCUCCUGCAGCCGCCCGCUGUCGAUGCCCAGCAGGUAGGCGGGAAAGGCCAGCACUACCAGGGUUGGGGGGAAAGAGGGCGGCCAGUUAGGCUCUGGGGCUCCAGGGGGGGGCCUUUGUGCCCAGUGACGGAGAUACUGUCUUCGUGGGUGCUUACCCUCCUGGGGCCCCACGCGGAGGAAGCAGUUUGGACACACCCGUCCACCCCGCCGUCCCCAGCGCCCACACUCACGGUCCACACUCUCUACCCGGGCGUAAUUCCCAUCCUCACAGAAGCUGAUGUUUCCCAAGUGCAAGAUUCCCGCCACCAGCUGCAGGACCAGCUGCUGGACGUUGGGCGGGAUCCCGAUGACCUGCAUGGCAUUCUGCAGGCACAACAGGGGCAGAACCUGUACCACAGAUCGCCACCUCCGUCCUGCCCUCCUGAGUUAGGCUCUGGGACCGCAGCACGGACGCAGGGAGUCAGGACACCCGGAGCCCUGUCUUGCCUGUUUCACCCACUUGCUGUGUGACCCGAGGCAAGUUCCAGCCCCUCUCCUGGCCUUGGCUUUCUAGAGUAGGGAUCACGGCUCACCAAAGUCUCGUUGAAGUCACUCCGGUCGUCGGUGCCAUCCACCUUGUAGGUGUCCGAUUGGAGGUAGUAAUAGUAGUCGGGGGUCAUGAGCCCCAGGUUUUGUCGCUGCUCCUGGGAGGCUCCUUCCAGCAGCUGGAGGGCGAGCAAUGUUCAUGCAUCUGGCGUUGGACCGGCAUCGCCCCUGUGAUCCCCCAGUCCUCACUGUCCUAGCCUCCUGGACACUCACCCUCCCACCGUCUCCCCUUGGCUCUCCCUCGGCUCCAGCCUCACGGCCCUUUCCUUGCACCUGAUAGUAGAUGUGGAAGUUCCUCUCGUUUUCGUUCUGCAUGACCACACGGGAUUUCUCUAGCAGGAAGUUGGAGAUCUUGCCCCCGUCCGGCUCCCCGCCACGACUGAACUGGAUCUCAAAGUACUUGCCCUGAAGCCGAGAGAGCCAGGCUCAGCACUAACACCUGACACAAAGAAGGAGCCCAAGAACAAUUUGUUGAAGAAAAGAAUGGAAGAGAGAAUAAAUUGGGAACUGAACUGUGAACAGGAACAGACGUAGCAUGGUUGCAGCCAGGAAAACAUUUAAGAAUGUUACACAGACAAGUCAAGGCUUCUACAGAUCAGCUGAUGGGGGAAUCUUUUUCAGAAGGACCAUAAGCAGGAAGUGAGUCUCCCACAAGCAGGAAGAGAGUCUCCCACCAAGGAGCAGGACGUUCCUAUGCUACUGGGAACACAGGUGUUUGUGUUUGUGUGUGGGGCUGCAGACUCACAAAGCG
Mustela lutreola (European mink) is the source of this 4730-nucleotide long non-coding RNA. RefSeq lists it as uncharacterized. The transcript has 6 exons. The record is from RefSeq and is a predicted model, not a curated record. Lineage: Eukaryota; Metazoa; Chordata; Mammalia; Carnivora; Mustelidae.